GACGAACCGUGCGAACGUUAUUCGGAAUCAUUGGGCUUAAAGGGCGCGUAGGCGGCGGCGUAAGUUGGAAGUGAAAUCCCAUCGGCUCAACCGUGGAAUUGCUCCCAGUACUGCGUCGCUCGAGGGGGAUAGGGGUCUGCGGAACUACCGGUGGAGCGGUGAAAUGUGUUGAUAUCGGUGGGAACGCCAGUGGCGAAAGCGGCAGACUUGACCCUUCCUGACGCUGAGGCGCGAAAGCUAGGGGAGCAAACGGG
This 254-nucleotide ribosomal RNA is filed under the name uncultured bacterium. RNAcentral describes it as "partial 16S ribosomal RNA". It matches the Rfam family "Bacterial small subunit ribosomal RNA", at positions 524 to 776 of the family's 1533-position model. The record is from RNAcentral.